This 490-nucleotide long non-coding RNA is filed under the name Mustela putorius furo (domestic ferret). RNAcentral's name for it is "lncRNA (ENSMPUG00000024333.1)". Lineage: Eukaryota; Metazoa; Chordata; Mammalia; Carnivora; Mustelidae. The record is from RNAcentral.
CCAGCAGUGUAUUCUAGAGUGACAGAUCCCAAGAGGCACAGAGAAGAGGAGAACAAAGAAGCAGAGCCACCAGCUGAUUUCCCCAAUCCCCUGUCCAAUAUCAUCUUAGAUCCUGGCAAAAAAAGCAAAAAAAAAAAAAAAAAACAACCCACAAACCCUGCAGCCGUGAUGUAUUCAUACAAGGGAACAUCCUUUGGCCCUAAUAAGGUGUGACGUGCGGAUACGUGCUUCAAUACGGAUGGUUCUUAAACUCAUAAUGCUACGUGAAAGGAGCCAGUCACAAAGACACAUAUUGUGUGACUCCCUUUAUACCAAAGAUCCAGAAAAGGUCCAGUGGGUAUGGGCUCCGCUCCUCACAGCCUUGCAGGGACCAGGACCCUCCACCCCAGUCUCAUGAAGGCCUUAACAUCCUCGCCUGGGUCCUCUACAUCCAGCCAUUGGACAGGCGAGAAAGUGAGCCAAGGUGAGUUUUUCAGGGGUCAGACCAGGC